Molecule: ribosomal RNA, 497 nt
Filed under: uncultured bacterium
Lineage: Bacteria
Description: partial 16S ribosomal RNA
Rfam family: Bacterial small subunit ribosomal RNA
Source: RNAcentral
GAUGAACGCUGGCGGCGUGCCUAAUACAUGCAAGUCGAGCGAACGGACGAGAAGCUUGCUUCUCUGAUGUUAGCGGCGGACGGGUGAGUAACACGUGGAUAACCUACCUAUAAGACUGGGAUAAAUUCGGGAAACCGGAGCUAAUACCGGAUGAUAUUUUGAACCGCAUGGUUCAAAAGUGAAAGACGGGCUUGCUGUCACUUAUAGAUGGAUCCGCGCUGCAUUAGCUAGUUGGUAAGGUAACGGCUUACCAAGGCAACGAUGCAUAGCCGACCUGAGAGGGUGAUCGGCCACACUGGAACUGAGACACGGUCCAGACUCCUACGGGAGGCAGCAGUAGGGAAUCUUCCGCAAUGGGCGAAAGCCUGACGGAGCAACGCCGCGUGAGUGAUGAAGGUCUUCGGAUCGUAAAACUCUGUUAUUAGGGAAGAACAUAUGUGUAAGUAACUGUGCACAUCUUGACGGUACCUAAUCAGAAAGCCACGGCUAACUACGUG